RNAcentral lists this long non-coding RNA (1771 nucleotides) under Homo sapiens (human). RNAcentral describes it as "HSALNT0017015". The record is from RNAcentral. Lineage: Eukaryota; Metazoa; Chordata; Mammalia; Primates; Hominidae.
AGGUGAGAAGCAGCUGUGGAGAGCUGAUGCACAAGCCCACAGUAGGGUGAGCAAGCCUGGAGUAGGGUGACAACAUGGAGGAGGGAGCGCCUGGCUCUGCCAGGAAUCGGCCAAGGCUCAACAGUGUUUAUGCCUUAAGACAAGAAAACAGCACGGAGUUGAGAGCUUAAGCUCUGGAACUGGGCAAGUUCUCUCAAAGCCUCAUCGGGCUACUCUAAGAAUUAAAUUAAAACACUAACAAGCACAGAAUAAGCUAGUUCCUGAUAUAGUAAGAGCUUAUUAUGUGCCAGGAACUGUUAGACCCACGUAUUGAGGGACUGAAGUUUCAGCAGCACAUGAGUGACCUUCGAAAUGGAUCCUCCAUCACCUUCAGAUGACUGCAGCCCUGGAUCACAACUUCACCACAACCUUGAGAGUGACCCUCACCUUGAACCUCCCAGCCAAGCUGUUCUCAGACUGUCCUCUGGUGGAGCUUUUGUGCUGCAUUGAAACAUGGAGGAGAAGGUCAAAGGGGAAGCAAGCAUGAAGAGGGACCAGACCAGAGGGGCAUCCUGGAUUUAUAGAAACCUACUCUUGGGGGAACUAAUCCAUUCCUGUGAGAACUAAACCAGUCUCACCAGAGCAAGAAAUCACUCACUGCCACAAGGACAGCACCAAGAUAUUCAGGAAGGACCUGUCCCCAUGACCCAAACACCUCCCACCACACCCUACUUCUCAACACAGACACACGGGGGAAUCAAAUUUCAACAUGAGAUUUGGUGAAGACAAACAAACCAUAUCCUAACCAUAGCACUUCCCAAGAAUGGCAUAAGAUUUAACUGAGGUAAUGUUACUGAAAUGCCAGGGGUUCACUCUAGGUCCUUCUGCUUGCCACACAGAAAGCCAAUCACUGAGACAAUGAGUAUGACUAGGGAAGAAGUCUUUAAUUAGGUGCUGCAGCCAAGGCAAUGGGUGAUUGGUCUCAAAUCUAUCUCCCUGACUAACUAAAAUUAGAAGUUUAUAUAGCAGGGAAGAACUAUAACCACGUAUGGGAAAACAAGAAUUAGUGAGGGGUAAGGAAGAGGAGUUGGUCAACAGGAAGCAGGUGGCUGGCUAGGCACUCAUGACAGGUGAGGGGUCUGGUGUUUCACUGUCCAGAUGCAGUGAUCUGGUAAGUUUCAGUUCCUUGAUACUAUCUGGGAGGGCUGAUGUUUGGUUUUCUGAGAAAGGAACUCAGAUAAAAUAAAUGUUUAGUGCUUCAGUGGAAGUUUAUAUAUAUGUAACUUUCCCAAGUUUCAAGACUGGGAGGAUGAAUUUCUAUGUUUAUUCAAAAGAAACCAUAAACAUCAGUUCUAGGGACAAUUGGGCUGGCUUCAGUCAUGCACAUUUAGCCCUUUCCUGUACCCUACAUCCCCUCUAUUUGAAAGCAGUGGUCCUACACUCAAACAGUCUUCAGGUCCUCACCUCCAACCAUGACCUCCCUCUUGUAUGUCUUGUCUUUCUAAGGGAUCCCCAGUCACCCACCCAAAAAGCUAGUGGCUGUCCAAGGCUCCUCCUUUGCCUUCAUCCUCCCGGCUCUGAACAACUCCUGGCCACUGAUUCCUGUCUGAGUUAGGAGUUAGAUGCAUCUGCUCUGAGCUCCCCUGAUCUACACGUACUUCACAAUGUGCACUUUACCCACACUGGUGAAUGCUCAGUAGACUCAGAUUGUCUUGCAGGAAGGACUUAGGGUUUUUAUCUCUGAAUAAUGAUAUUUGUGGAACUAAAGUGAAAUAAAAGAAUAAUAGCUCAA